RNAcentral lists this ribosomal RNA (491 nucleotides) under uncultured bacterium. RNAcentral's name for it is "partial 16S ribosomal RNA". It matches the Rfam family "Bacterial small subunit ribosomal RNA", at positions 28 to 507 of the family's 1533-position model. The record is from RNAcentral.
GAUGAACGCUAGCUACAGGCUUAACACAUGCAAGUCGCGGGGCAGCAUGGGGGUUGCUUGCAACCCCUGAUGGCGACCGGCGCACGGGUGAGUAACGCGUAUCCAACCUGCCCUUCACCACGGGAUAACCCGGCGAAAGUCGGACUAAUACCGUAUGUUGUCCAUUGACGGCAUCCGAUUUGGACGAAAGGGUUGGCGGUGAAAGGAUGGGGAUGCGUCCGAUUAGCUUGACGGCGGGGUAACGGCCCACCGUGGCUACGAUCGGUAGGGGUUCUGAGAGGAAGGUCCCCCACACUGGAACUGAGACACGGUCCAGACUCCUACGGGAGGCAGCAGUGAGGAAUAUUGGUCAAUGGGCGUAAGCCUGAACCAGCCAAGUAGCGUGCAGGAUGACGGCCCUAUGGGUUGUAAACUGCUUUUAUGCGGGGAUAAAGUGGCCCACGUGUGGGCUUUUGCAGGUACCGCAUGAAUAAGGACCGGCUAAUUCCGUG